Long non-coding RNA from Musa acuminata AAA Group (dessert banana), 837 nucleotides. RefSeq lists it as uncharacterized. The record is from RefSeq and is a predicted model, not a curated record. NCBI's taxonomy places the organism in Eukaryota, Viridiplantae, Streptophyta, Magnoliopsida, Zingiberales, Musaceae. The transcript has 2 exons.
GACACACAUCUCUCCACCAUAUGGAACAGCACCACAGAACAGCCUCUCUCUCUCUCUCUUCUGCUUCUUCUUCUUCUUCCUUGGCUGAAACCAUGGAGAAGCGCCAGCUCAAUCAGGAAAAAACUGAAGGUUUCAUGUUGCUUCCUAGUCUGUCUCCAAACUUGUUCGAUGGACCAUUGAUUUGUGCUGAGGAAGUCAGUAGCACUGAGAGGAAGCUCACUGACAUGUCAGAGGAAGAAGUAGAUCUCAUUUACAGGAUGCAUAGGCUUGUUGGUGACAGAUGGGAGCUGAUAGCUGGUAGAAUUCCCGGCCGCACUCCGGAGGAGAUCAAACGGUUUUGGAAGGUGAAGAACGAUCCAUGUUUUGCUGAGAAGGGGCUGAAGAGAAAGAGAGCUGUACAAGGAACUGUUGCUCAAGUACAGAACCAGAAGUGAUUACUGUGAGCUCCAAAUUCAAAUCAUGACAAGAAAAAGCCAGCAAGAUUUGAGGCAACGAUGAUUAAUUAAAGACAGAUCCUGCCAUUUUGUUUCAAGUUCUGUCACACCAGUGAGGUUACUACUGCUGACAAUGUGAAGAACUGAGAAGACUACAAGUAGAAGAACUUUAGAGAUUCAUCACAAUUGUUGAAGAUGCAAUUAUUGAUAGCUUUCUUGAUUCUGAUAAUGGGCAUACAAAAUGGUAGGUAUUGACCGAAAUCUUAUAGUCUUCUAAUGAAAUCUGUGUUGAAAUACAAUACUCAUCCGUUCUUCAUCAAUUUAAGGAGCUUUUUCAUCCGAAAAAUAAGCUCAUUAAAAAUGGAUGCUUUCGAUAUAAUGGUCAUAUGGAUAAUCAAUAGUC